Molecule: ribosomal RNA, 171 nt
Filed under: uncultured bacterium
Lineage: Bacteria
Description: partial 16S ribosomal RNA
Rfam family: Bacterial small subunit ribosomal RNA
Source: RNAcentral
CCUACGGGAGGCAGCAGUAGGGAAUCUUGCGCAAUGGGCGAAAGCCUGACGCAGCGACGCCGCGUGAGGGAAGAAGGCCUUUGGGUCGUAAACCUCUGUCGGAGGGGACGAAGGACUGACGGUACCCUCCAAGGAAGCCCCGGCUAACUACGUGCCAGCAGCCGCGGUAAU